Molecule: ribosomal RNA, 429 nt
Filed under: uncultured bacterium
Lineage: Bacteria
Description: bacterial SSU rRNA
Rfam family: Bacterial small subunit ribosomal RNA
Source: RNAcentral
UGGGGAAUAUUGGGCAAUGGGCGCAAGCCUGACCCAGCCAUGCCGCGUGAGUGAUGAAGGCCUUCGGGUCGUAAAGCUCUGUGGGGAGGGACGAACAGCCUGGCGGUUAAUACCCGCCGGGUCUGACGGUACCUCCUUAGCAAGCACCGGCUAACUCCGUGCCAGCAGCCGCGGUAAUACGGGGGGUGCAAACGUUGCUCGGAAUUAUUGGGCGUAAAGCGCACGUAGGCGGUCUUGUAAGUCGGGUGUGAAAGCCCGGGGCUUAACCCCGGAAGUGCACUCGAAACUGCAAGGCUUGAGUAUGGAAGAGGGUCUCGGAAUUCCCGGUGUAGAGGUGAAAUUCGUAGAUAUCGGGAGGAACACCAGUGGCGAAGGCGGAGACCUGGGCCAAUACUGACGCUGAGGUGCGAAAGCGUGGGGAGCAAACAG